RNAcentral lists this long non-coding RNA (728 nucleotides) under Gossypium raimondii (Peruvian cotton). RNAcentral's name for it is "long non-coding RNA (GRAI_LNC005382)". The record is from RNAcentral. Lineage: Eukaryota; Viridiplantae; Streptophyta; Magnoliopsida; Malvales; Malvaceae.
CUAGGAGUCCCUAUUGUCCGUAGAAAAGAACCCUAACUGAUCAAGUGAGAGUCUCCUUUUCCUCAGAAACAUGUUCACCUUUCUAAGCCCCAUAUCUCCCUAGAAGGUCAUUCGUCCCAUCCCAGCAUUGCCUCCCUCAUCUCACCGGAGAUACAUUCAACUUGUAUGGUCAUCCUCUCUUUGCCAAUAUUUGUUUUUUGUCUUCAAAAUCUAGUAACUCUUCAUCUCCUAUGGUUCAUUUCCAAAGCCCUCCAUCCGACUCUGUUAACCUUGCUUCUUGUUCUAGACCUUUGUAGAUCGAAUGGAUCCACCUUUCUUUUGUUUCGUUCCUCCUCUACCACGGAGAACUCCAACGCCUCUCCUACCAGGUAUGAUUCUUCACCCCUUCUUAACCCCUCAGCUACCAAUAUGUGCACCAACUGUUUACUUCUUUUGCAGCAAACAAAUAGAUGCAACUGUCAUUACCCCUUUUUUAAUGCUUUAAUGUCUUCAAUGUAAGAUCCAGUAACCGAUAUGUUGUCAUCGGUGGAGUUCACUUUCCUUACUAUAGUGAGGGAAUCACCUUCAAUCACCAUCUCUCUACACCUUAGAUCUAGACCGAUCUGGGUCGCUUGAAGGUAUGCAAUCGCCUCAGUCGCAAAAGUCAAUGGUAUAUGGUCAUUCAUGAUGUAUUAAUACAUUAAUUACUAAUUCUAAAUUAUUAAACAUUCUAAAUAACUCAUCAAUGC